UGAGGAAUCUUGCGCAAUGGGGGAAACCCUGACGCAGCAACGCCGCGUGAGUGAGGAAGGCCUUCGGGUCGUAAAGCUCUGUCAGUUGGGAAGAAAUGUCUGAGAGCCAAUACCUUUCAGGUUUGACGGUACCAACAGAGGAAGCACCGGCUAACUCCGUGCCAGCAGCCGCGGUAAUACGGGGGGUGCAAGCGUUGUUCGGAAUUAUUGGGCGUAAAGAGCGUGUAGGCGGCCGGAUGUGUCAGAUGUGAAAGCCCUGGGCUUAACCCAGGAAGUGCAUUUGAAACUAUCCGGCUUGAGUAGGGGAGAGGGAAGUGGAAUUCCUGGUGUAGAGGUGAAAUUCGUAGAUAUCAGGAGGAACACCGGUGGCGAAGGCGACUUCCUGGCCCUAUACUGACGCUGAGACGCGAGAGCGUGGGUAGCAAACAGG
RNAcentral lists this ribosomal RNA (430 nucleotides) under uncultured bacterium. RNAcentral describes it as "bacterial SSU rRNA". It matches the Rfam family "Bacterial small subunit ribosomal RNA", at positions 355 to 776 of the family's 1533-position model. The record is from RNAcentral.